GGAGUUGUAGCUCAGUGGUAGAGCGCUUGCCUCACGCAUGGGAGGCAUUGGGUUUGAUUCCCAGCACCA
This 69-nucleotide transfer RNA is filed under the name Ictidomys tridecemlineatus (thirteen-lined ground squirrel). Its description in RNAcentral is "Spermophilus tridecemlineatus (thirteen-lined ground squirrel) tRNA". It matches the Rfam family "tRNA". From Rfam's summary of the family: Transfer RNA (tRNA) molecules are approximately 80 nucleotides in length. Their secondary structure includes four short double-helical elements and three loops (D, anti-codon, and T loops). Lineage: Eukaryota; Metazoa; Chordata; Mammalia; Rodentia; Sciuridae. The record is from Rfam by way of RNAcentral.